RNAcentral lists this long non-coding RNA (274 nucleotides) under Mytilus galloprovincialis (Mediterranean mussel). Lineage: Eukaryota; Metazoa; Mollusca; Bivalvia; Mytilida; Mytilidae. The record is from RNAcentral.
CAAUAAUAUUGAUACUUUCAAUUUCCGGUGAGCAUCCGAAUUAAGAUUUUUACAACGAAGUUUAAGAUAUCAAAAAUAAGUAUAUUGAUCAUGGUCAUUUUGAUUUGAUCGUUUUUGAAAACAUAGGAUAAAUAAGUGUUUGACCGAGACUUAAUAUAAAAAUGUGAUCGUGUGAGGGGGGCACACUUUGCUACACAUGUCCUUUUUGUCAAAGUAUAUGUGUAUAUAUGUUGUAACAGAAUCGUCCUAUUCGUUUUGCAACCUUAACCCAUCC